AUACUUACCUGGCGUAGGGGUUACCGUGAUCAUUAAGGCGGUUCCCCCGAGGCGAGGCCUUUCCAUUGCACAUCGGUUGGGUUGACCCUUGCGAUUAUCUAUCUAGAUUUAUUCUUAAAAUCAUCC
Phlebotomus papatasi is the source of this 126-nucleotide non-coding RNA. The record is from Rfam. Lineage: Eukaryota; Metazoa; Arthropoda; Insecta; Diptera; Psychodidae.